Molecule: transfer RNA, 85 nt
Filed under: Felis catus (domestic cat)
Lineage: Eukaryota; Metazoa; Chordata; Mammalia; Carnivora; Felidae
Rfam family: tRNA
About the family: Transfer RNA (tRNA) molecules are approximately 80 nucleotides in length. Their secondary structure includes four short double-helical elements and three loops (D, anti-codon, and T loops).
Source: Rfam by way of RNAcentral
GCCUGGGUGGCUCAGUUGGUUGAGCGUCCGACUUCGGCUUGGGUCAUGAUCUCACAGUUCGUGAGUUCAAGACUUACACUGGGCU